UCUCUUUCUCUCUCUCUCUCUCUCUCUCUCUCUCUCUCUCUCUUUCUGUCUGUCCUGUGGUGGGAUAAACAGUGAAAAGAUGAGCCUGUGAUACAGCAUCAGACCUGAGUGACCUGACAGCUCAAACUAAUCCUGUUCAGACAAAAAUAAAUGCUGCCAGUUGAAGCCUAGUCUCUGAUAGCAGUGGAGAACAACCAGUCUACUUCCCGGAAGAAUACAAGACUUCUCUGAUCUGGUUCAUCGGACAGAGCGACUUGCCACGCUCCGACUGCCCCCUUCUCCCCACAGCAUCAGACACCUCUGUGGUUGCAGUGAGACCCCACCUGCUCAGCAACAGCUGUACAUGGAG
This 349-nucleotide long non-coding RNA is filed under the name Sinocyclocheilus grahami. RNAcentral describes it as "lncRNA (ENSSGRG00000024818.1)". Lineage: Eukaryota; Metazoa; Chordata; Actinopteri; Cypriniformes; Cyprinidae. The record is from RNAcentral.